GCAGGGAAUCUUGCACAAUGGGCGAAAGCCUGAUGCAGCGACGCCGCGUGGGGGACGAAGGCCCUUAGGGUCGUAAACCCCUUUCAGCAGGGACGAAAAUGACGGUACCUGCAGAAGAAGCUCCGGCCAACUACGUGCCAGCAGCCGCGGUAAGACGUAGGGGGCGAGCGUUGUCCGGAUUUAUUGGGCGUAAAGAGCUCGUAGGCGGUUGCGUAAGUCGGAUGUGAAAACUCAGGGCUCAACCCUGAGACGUCAUCCGAUACUGCGCUGACUCGAAUCCAGUAGGGGAGUGUGGAAUUCCUGGUGUAGCGGUGAAAUGCGCAGAUAUCAGGAGGAACACCUAUGGCGAAGGCAGCACUCUGGGCUGGUAUUGACGCUGAGGAGCGAAAGCAUGGGUAGCAAACAGGAUUAGAUACCCUGGUAGUCC
Molecule: ribosomal RNA, 427 nt
Filed under: uncultured Candidatus Nemicrothrix sp.
Lineage: Bacteria; Bacillati; Actinomycetota; Acidimicrobiia; Acidimicrobiales; Microthrixaceae
Description: bacterial SSU rRNA
Rfam family: Bacterial small subunit ribosomal RNA
Source: RNAcentral